This 301-nucleotide ribosomal RNA is filed under the name uncultured bacterium. Its description in RNAcentral is "partial 16S ribosomal RNA". It matches the Rfam family "Bacterial small subunit ribosomal RNA", at positions 509 to 808 of the family's 1533-position model. The record is from RNAcentral.
CAGCAGCCGCGGUAAUACGAAGGGUGCAAGCGUUAAUCGGAAUUACUGGGCGUAAAGCGUGCGUAGGCGGUGAGUUAAGUCUGCUGUGAAAUCCCCGGGCUCAACCUGGGAAUGGCAGUGGAUACUGGCUCGCUAGAGUGUGUCAGAGGAUGGUGGAAUUCCCGGUGUAGCGGUGAAAUGCGUAGAGAUCGGGAGGAACAUCAGUGGCGAAGGCGGCCAUCUGGGACAACACUGACGCUGAGGCACGAAAGCGUGGGGAGCAAACAGGAUUAGAUACCCAGUAGUCCCUGUCUCUUAUACA